ACACAUGCAAGUCGAGGGGAAACGACAUCGAAAGCUUGCUUUUGAUGGGCGUCGACCGGCGCACGGGUGAGUAACGCGUAUCCAACCUGCCCACCACUUGGGGAUAACCUUGCGAAAGUAAGACUAAUACCCAAUGACGUCUCUAGAAGACAUCUGAAGGAGAUUAAAGAUUUAUCGGUGAUGGAUGGGGAUGCGUCUGAUUAGCUUGUUGGCGGGGUAACGGCCCACCAAGGCGACGAUCAGUAGGGGUUCUGAGAGGAAGGUCCCCCACAUUGGAACUGAGACACGGUCCAAACUCCUACGGGAGGCAGCAGUGAGGAAUAUUGGUCAAUGGACGAGAGUCUGAACCAGCCAAGUAGCGUGCAGGAUGACGGCCCUAUGGGUUGUAAACUGCUUUUAUAAGGGAAUAAAGUGAGUCUCGUGAGACUUUUUGCAUGUACCUUAUGAAUAAGGACCGGCUAAUUCCGUGCCAGCAGCCGCGGUAAUACGGAAGGUCCGGGCGUUAUCCGGAUUUAUUGGGUUUAAAGGGAGCGUAGGCCGGAGAUUAAGCGUGUUGUGAAAUGUAGAUGCUCAACAUCUGCACUGCAGCGCGAACUGGUUUCCUUGAGUACGCACAAAGUGGGCGGAAUUCGUGGUGUAGCGGUGAAAUGCUUAGAUAUCACGAAGAACUCCGAUUGCGAAGGCAGCUCACUGGAGCGCAACUGACGCUGAAGCUCGAAAGUGCGGGUAUCGAACAGGAUUAGAUACCCUGGUAGUCCGCACGGUAAACGAUGGAUGCCCGCUGUUGGUCUGAAUAGGUCAGCGGCCAAGCGAAAGCAUUAAGCAUCCCACCUGGGGAGUACGCCGGCA
This 849-nucleotide ribosomal RNA is filed under the name uncultured bacterium. RNAcentral's name for it is "bacterial SSU rRNA". It matches the Rfam family "Bacterial small subunit ribosomal RNA", at positions 51 to 890 of the family's 1533-position model. The record is from RNAcentral.